Molecule: small nucleolar RNA, 195 nt
Organism: Homo sapiens (human)
Lineage: Eukaryota; Metazoa; Chordata; Mammalia; Primates; Hominidae
Source: RefSeq, marked validated
UCCCCUGCAAUGAUGAUGAAAUAGUAGGCAUAUGUGUGAUCUUCUUAAAGAAUCCACAACGGUUAUCAGAUUAAAGCUGUGACCCAUCCCCAGCUCAGAUGAGUUCAUGAAAUCCUGAUUUAAGAUUUUAAAAUAAUGAAGAUUGUUAGUUGACUUGUUCGGUUUAUUAAAAUCCUCAUCUUACUGAGCGGGGGG